UUCUUGUUUUUCAGACACGAAAAAAACAAAAUUAUAAUAAUCGAAUGUAGGUAAAAAUAUAGGCGAUCUACUCACGUGUUAAAACCGCUAUAACUCCGCGCGUAUCGCUAGUACCUAUAUUGUAUAGGCAAAUUUAAAACGGUUAUACCAUACCGAAACAAUCGUCGUUUAAAAGUCAAACGGUCUGUAAAAACGAAAAUUGUGUUUUUUCGGUUUUACUUGCACGCGCAACCGGAGCAUGGAAUACUGUGCACGUUCAUUACAAUAUAAUAAUAAUAAUAAUACGGAUGGUUACAGUUUAUCGCGAAGUGUUAGAGUAAGUCUACCUACUAUAAUAUUAUUAUACAGGACGGUGAUCAUUUCUAUAAAUAUGUCCACUGACG
Molecule: non-coding RNA, 383 nt
Organism: Cinara cedri
Lineage: Eukaryota; Metazoa; Arthropoda; Insecta; Hemiptera; Aphididae
Source: the annotation of a GenBank genome assembly